Non-coding RNA from Paramuricea clavata, 234 nucleotides. The record is from the annotation of a GenBank genome assembly. Lineage: Eukaryota; Metazoa; Cnidaria; Anthozoa; Malacalcyonacea; Plexauridae.
CUCAUCGAUUCGUCCAAAUCCAUUAGUUGGCGGUCAAUGUCCGAUUCCUCUCCGCUUGACAUUCCUCCACGAUCACUGUUGGACUCAUUUCUAACUUCUAAAGCUCCUAAAACAUCUUCAGCACUGAAGCGACUCCUCUUAGAACAGGUCGCCAUUGCGUAAACUGAAGGUCAAGUUGCAUGACACGCUACUUUUAGCAAAGGUUCACAAAAAGGCAGCCAAUCACUGCGUUUG